Non-coding RNA from Ictidomys tridecemlineatus (thirteen-lined ground squirrel), 71 nucleotides. Lineage: Eukaryota; Metazoa; Chordata; Mammalia; Rodentia; Sciuridae. The record is from Rfam.
GAGGUGGUGGCUCAGUGGUAGAGCACUUGCCUAGUACACAUGAGGCACUGGGUUCGAUCCUCGUCACCAUG